Molecule: ribosomal RNA, 305 nt
Filed under: uncultured bacterium
Lineage: Bacteria
Description: bacterial SSU rRNA
Rfam family: Bacterial small subunit ribosomal RNA
Source: RNAcentral
GCCUACGGGGGGCAGCAGUGGGGAAUAUUGCACAAUGGGGGAAACCCUGAUGCAGCGACGCCGCGUGAGUGAGGAAGUAUUUCGGUAUGUAAAGCUCUAUCAGCAGGGAAGAAAAUGACGGUACCUGACUAAGAAGCCCCGGCUAACUACGUGCCAGCAGCCGCGGUAAUACGUAGGGGGCAAGCGUUAUCCGGAUUUACUGGGUGUAAAGGGAGCGUAGACGGAAGAACAAGUUGGUUGUGAAAUCCCUCGGCUCAACUGAGGAACUGCAACCAAAACUAUUCUCCUUGAGUGUCGGAGAGGAA